ACGAUGAAGGCUUUCGAGUCGUAAAGUUCUGUUCUUGGGGAAGAUAACGACGGUACCCAAGGAGAAAGCACCGGCUAAAUACGUGCCAGCAGCCGCGGUAAUACGUAUGGUGCAAGCGUUGUCCGGAAUUACUGGGCGUAAAGAGUUCGUAGGCGGUUAGAUUAGUCAGAAGUGAAAGGCUACGGCUCAACCGUAGUAAGCUUUUGAAACUGUCUAACUUGAGUACUGGAGAGGAAAGCGGAAUUCCUAGUGUAGCGGUGAAAUGCGUAGAUAUUAGGAAGAACACCAGUGGCGAAGGCGGCUUUCUGGACAGUAACUGACGCUGAGGAACGAAAGCGUGGGGAGCGAACAGGAUUAGGUACCCUGGUAGUCCACGCCGUAAACGAUGAGAACUAGGUGUUGGGGAUCGAACCUCAGUGCCGCAGUUAACGCAGUAAGUUCUCCGCCUGGGGAGUACGAUCGCAAGAUUGAAACUCAAAGGAAUUGACGGAUCACGAAUUCU
This 502-nucleotide ribosomal RNA is filed under the name uncultured Bacillota bacterium. Its description in RNAcentral is "bacterial SSU rRNA". It matches the Rfam family "Bacterial small subunit ribosomal RNA", at positions 405 to 933 of the family's 1533-position model. The record is from RNAcentral. Lineage: Bacteria; Bacillati; Bacillota.